Motacilla alba alba is the source of this 1129-nucleotide long non-coding RNA. RefSeq lists it as uncharacterized. NCBI's taxonomy places the organism in Eukaryota, Metazoa, Chordata, Aves, Passeriformes, Motacillidae. The transcript is spliced from 4 exons. The record is from RefSeq and is a predicted model, not a curated record.
GUCUGCUCUGCAAAACAAAGGAGUAGCCAGGGCCUUGUUUGUCCACCUAGUUCUCAGCGCACCCUGGACCUCUCAUGAAAAACCAGGAAGGUUUCUAAUUUUUUCUUUUCCUGAAACACAUCAAAGACCAUAAGUAGCAGAAAUCUGUGAAGGAAAAGGGGGUUUGACUGUGACUCCAAAACAUCCUCUCUAUAAGUUUUCACAGGAAGAAGCUGUAAGAGAUCUCAGCUGGCAUUCUUCAGCUUGUACCAGACAGUUCUUGCAGGUAGGACAUGACCAUUCUCUCUGUGUUGCUCUUGGGCUCUGUCCUGGGAUUGCAUUUGCUUUUUUUUUAGGACUGCCUGAGGUCCAAAUGCAGGACCAAGGUUGCAGGUCAUAUAUGAAGAGAAGAAAUCCAAAUGCAAUUUACAGGUUCUCCAGCCAUACUGCCCAAGUCACAGAAGGCAAAGGCAGCAGGGACUGGCAGAAUAAAGAACCAUCUUUUGUAGGAGAAGAUCAGGUUUGAGAACAUUUAAGAAACCGGAAGGUGCACAAAUACAUGGGACCUGAGGAGAUCCUGAUGAGGUCCUGAAGGAACUGGCAGAUGAAGGCUCUAAACACUAUCCAUCAUAUUUGAAAAGUCGUGGAAAAAUAGUGAAGUUCUCAUAGAGUGGAAAUGGGGAAAACCCAAUUUUAGAAAAGGGUAAAAAGGAGAAAGAUGGAGGGAACUACAGGCCAAUCAGUCUUGUCUUGGUGCUUGAAAACAUCAUGGUAUAGAGCCUCCUGCAAAAUAUGCUAAGACACAUGGAAUAUAAAAACAUAACUGGUGACAGCCAACACAGCUUUGCUAAGGGCAAAUCACACCUGACAAAUUUUGUGGCUUUCUUUAAAGGGGUGACAGAGUUGGUGGGUGAGGGAAGAGCAGUUGACAUCAUCUACCUGGGCCUGUGCAAAGCAUUUGACAUUGUCCUUCACAUGAUCCUUGUCCCUGAACUGGAUUUGAUGAAUGGAAUACUGGGUGGAUAAGGAAUGGUUUGAAAAGACAGGUGUCUGCUAGGGAAGGCAGGAGCCUCCCUUGAAAUGGAAAAUAUAAACCCCCGCCCUGCGAAUUAUUAUAAUUUUGAAAUUAAGGAGCUCUCAGGCAAAGAUA